UGGGGAAUAUUGCACAAUGGGCGAAAGCCUGAUGCAGCAACGCCGCGUGAGUGAUGAAGGUCUUCGGAUUGUAAAGCUCUGUCUUUUGGGACGAUAAUGACGGUACCAAAGGAGGAAGCCACGGCUAACUACGUGCCAGCAGCCGCGGUAAUACGUAGGUGGCGAGCGUUGUCCGGAUUUACUGGGCGUAAAGGGUGCGUAGGCGGAUGUUUAAGUGAGAUGUGAAAUACCCGGGCUUAACUUGGGUGCUGCAUUUCAAACUGGAUAUCUAGAGUGCAGGAGAGGAGAAUGGAAUUCCUAGUGUAGCGGUGAAAUGCGUAGAGAUUAGGGAGAACACCAGUGGCGAAGGCGAUUCUCUGGACUGUAACUGACGCUGAGGCACGAAAGCGUGGGUAGCAAACAGGAUUAGAUACCCUGGUAGUCCACGCCGUAAACGAUGAGUACUAGGUGUAGGAGGUAUCGACCCCUUC
This 470-nucleotide ribosomal RNA is filed under the name uncultured bacterium. RNAcentral's name for it is "partial 16S ribosomal RNA". It matches the Rfam family "Bacterial small subunit ribosomal RNA", at positions 355 to 841 of the family's 1533-position model. The record is from RNAcentral.